This 495-nucleotide ribosomal RNA is filed under the name uncultured bacterium. RNAcentral describes it as "partial 16S ribosomal RNA". It matches the Rfam family "Bacterial small subunit ribosomal RNA", at positions 28 to 523 of the family's 1533-position model. The record is from RNAcentral.
GAUGAACGCUAGCGGGAGGCCUAACACAUGCAAGCCGAGCGGUAUUGUUUCUUCGGAAAUGAGAGAGCGGCGUACGGGUGCGGAACACGUGUGCAACCUGCCUUUAUCUGGGGGAUAGCCUUUCGAAAGGAAGAUUAAUACUCCAUAAUAUAUUGAACGGCAUCGUUCAAUAUUGAAAGCUCCGGCGGAUAGAGAUGGGCACGCGCAAGAUUAGCUAGUUGGUGGGGUAACGGCUCACCAAGGCGAUGAUCUUUAGGGGGCCUGAGAGGGUGAUCCCCCACACUGGUACUGAGACACGGACCAGACUCCUACGGGAGGCAGCAGUGAGGAAUAUUGGUCAAUGGGUGCAAGCCUGAACCAGCCAUCCCGCGUGAAGGACGACUGCCCUAUGGGUUGUAAACUUCUUUUGUAUAGGGAUAAACCUACCCUCGUGAGGGUAGCUGAAGGUACUAUACGAAUAAGCACCGGCUAACUCCGUGCCAGCAGCCGCAGUAA